GACGAACGCUGGCGGCGUGCUUAACACAUGCGAGUCGAACGGAAAGGCCCUGCUUUUGUGGGGUGCUCGAGUGGCGAACGGGUGAGUAACACGUGAGUAACCUGCCCUUGACUUUGGGAUAACUUCAGGAAACUGGGGCUAAUACCGGAUAGGAGCUCCUGCUGCAUGGUGGGGGUUGGAAAGUUUCGGCGGUUGGGGAUGGACUCGCGGCUUAUCAGCUUGUUGGUGGGGUAGUGGCUUACCAAGGCUUUGACGGGUAGCCGGCCUGAGAGGGUGACCGGCCACAUUGGGACUGAGACACGGCCCAGACUCCUACGGGAGGCAGCAGUGGGGAAUAUUGCACAAUGGGCGGAAGCCUGAUGCAGCAACGCCGCGUGCGGGAUGACGGCCUUCGGGUUGUAAACCGCUUUCGCCUGUGACGAAGCGUGAGUGACGGUAAUGGGUAAAGAAGCACCGGCUAACUACGUG
This 468-nucleotide ribosomal RNA is filed under the name uncultured bacterium. Its description in RNAcentral is "partial 16S ribosomal RNA". It matches the Rfam family "Bacterial small subunit ribosomal RNA", at positions 28 to 507 of the family's 1533-position model. The record is from RNAcentral.